GUGCCAGCAGCCGCGGUAAGACGGAGGAUGCAAGUGUUAUCCGGAAUCACUGGGCGUAAAGCGUCUGUAGGUGGUUUAAUAAGUCAACUGUUAAAUCUUAAGGCUCAACCUUGAAAUCGCAGUCGAAACUAUUAGACUAGAGUAUAGUAGGGGUAAAGGGAAUUUCCAGUGGAGCGGUGAAAUGCGUAGAUAUUGGAAAGAACACCGAUGGCGAAGGCACUUUACUGGGCUAUUACUAACACUCAGAGACGAAAGCUAGGGUAGCAAAUGGGAUUAGAUACCCCAGUAGUCCUAGCCGUAAACAAUGGAUACUAGAUGUUGAACAGAUCGACCUGUGCAGUAUCAAAGCUAACGCGUUAAGUAUCCCGCCUGGGAAGUAUGCUCGCAAGAGUGAAACUCAAAUGAAUUGGCGG
This 413-nucleotide ribosomal RNA is filed under the name uncultured bacterium. Its description in RNAcentral is "bacterial SSU rRNA". It matches the Rfam family "Bacterial small subunit ribosomal RNA", at positions 505 to 916 of the family's 1533-position model. The record is from RNAcentral.